AGGGAAUCUUCCGCAAUGGACGAAAGUCUGACGGAGCAACGCCGCGUGAGUGAAGAAGGCCUUCGGGUCGUAAAGCUCUGUUGCCAGGGAAGAACGUCCUGUAAAGUAACUGCUACAGGAGUGACGGUACCUGAGAAGAAAGCCCCGGCUAACUACGUGCCAGCAGCCGCGGUAAUACGUAGGGGGCAAGCGUUGUCCGGAAUUAUUGGGCGUAAAGCGCGCGCAGGCGGCUGUUUAAGUCUGGUGUUUAAUCCUGGGGCUCAACUCCGGGUCGCACUGGAAACUGGACGGCUUGAGUGCAGAAGAGGAGAGUGGAAUUCCACGUGUAGCGGUGAAAUGCGUAGAGAUGUGGAGGAACACCAGUGGCGAAGGCGACUCUCUGGGCUGUAACUGACGCUGAGGCGCGAAAGCGUGGGGAGCAAAC
Molecule: ribosomal RNA, 424 nt
Filed under: uncultured bacterium
Lineage: Bacteria
Description: bacterial SSU rRNA
Rfam family: Bacterial small subunit ribosomal RNA
Source: RNAcentral